RNAcentral lists this ribosomal RNA (467 nucleotides) under uncultured bacterium. RNAcentral's name for it is "partial 16S ribosomal RNA". It matches the Rfam family "Bacterial small subunit ribosomal RNA", at positions 28 to 507 of the family's 1533-position model. The record is from RNAcentral.
GACGAACGCUGGCGGCGUGCUUAACACAUGCAAGUCGAACGGAAAGGCCCUGCUUUUGUGGGGUGCUCGAGUGGCGAACGGGUGAGUAACACGUGAGUACCUGCCCUUGACUUUGGGAUAACUUCAGGAAACUGGGGCUAAUACCGGAUAGGAGCUCCUGCUGCAUGGUGGUGGUUGGAAAGUUUCGGCGGUUGGGGAUGGACUCGCGGCUUAUCAGCUUGUUGGUGGGGUAGUGGCUUACCAAGGCUUUGACGGGUAGCCGGCCUGAGAGGGUGACCGGCCACCUUGGGACUGAGAUACGGAGCAGACGCCUACGGGAGGCAGCAGGCGGGAAUAUUGCACAACGGGCGGAAGCGUGAUGCAGCAACGCCGCGUGCGGGAUGACGGCCUUCGGGUUGUAAACCGCUUUCGCCUGUGACGAAGCGUGAGUGACGGUAAUGGGUAAAGAAGCCACGGCUAACUACGUG